RNAcentral lists this ribosomal RNA (244 nucleotides) under uncultured Staphylococcus sp. RNAcentral describes it as "partial 16S ribosomal RNA". It matches the Rfam family "Bacterial small subunit ribosomal RNA", at positions 96 to 334 of the family's 1533-position model. Lineage: Bacteria; Bacillati; Bacillota; Bacilli; Caryophanales; Staphylococcaceae. The record is from RNAcentral.
CGGCGGACGGGUGAGUAACACGUGGAUAACCUACCUAUAAGACUGGGAUAACUUCGGGAAACCGGAGCUAAUACCGGAUAAUAUUCUGAACCGCAUGGUUCAAAAGUGAAAGACGGUCUUGCUGUCACUUAUAGAUGGAUCCGCGCUGUAUUAGCUAGUUGGUAAGGUAACGGCUUACCAAGGCAACGAUGCAUAGCCGACCUGAGAGGGUGAUCGGCCACACUGGAACUGAGACACGGUCCAG